UACGUAGGGGGCAAGCGUUGUCCGGAUUUAUUGGGCGUAAAGAGCUCGUAGGUGGUUCGGUAAGUCGGAUGUGAAAUCUCCAGGCUCAACCUGGAGGGGUCAUUCGAUACUGCCGUGACUAGAGGUCGGUAGGGGAGUGUGGAAUUCCUGGUGGAGCGGUGAAAUGCGCAGAUAUCAGGAGGAACACCCGUAGCGAAGGCGGCACUCUGGGCCGAUACUGACACUGAGGAGCGAAAGCGUGGGGAGCGAGCAGG
RNAcentral lists this ribosomal RNA (254 nucleotides) under uncultured bacterium. RNAcentral's name for it is "partial 16S ribosomal RNA". It matches the Rfam family "Bacterial small subunit ribosomal RNA", at positions 524 to 776 of the family's 1533-position model. The record is from RNAcentral.